UACGGGGGGGGCAAGCGUUGUUCGGAAUUACUGGGCGUAAAGGGCCCGUAGGCGGCCGGCUAAGUCCGACGUGAAAUCCCCAGGCUUAACCUGGGAACUGCGUCGGAUACUGGCUGGCUUGAAUUCGGGAGAGGGAUGCAGAAUUCCAGGUGUAGCGGUGAAAUGCGUAGAUAUCUGGAGGAAUACCGGUGGCGAAGGCGGCAUCCUGGACCGAGAUUGACACUGAUGAGCGAAAGCCAGGGGAGCAAACGGG
RNAcentral lists this ribosomal RNA (253 nucleotides) under uncultured bacterium. RNAcentral describes it as "partial 16S ribosomal RNA". It matches the Rfam family "Bacterial small subunit ribosomal RNA", at positions 524 to 776 of the family's 1533-position model. The record is from RNAcentral.